Molecule: unclassified non-coding RNA, 219 nt
Filed under: Hevea brasiliensis (rubber tree)
Lineage: Eukaryota; Viridiplantae; Streptophyta; Magnoliopsida; Malpighiales; Euphorbiaceae
Source: RNAcentral
AUAAACUCUCCGCUCUCCGCUCGUCCCCGCGAAAGCGGGGACCCAGAAUUUAUCUAUCACUCACCCUCAGUACAGCGGCCCCUACCCGGCACGCCGCGGCUUCAUGGUCUGCUCCUGCCAGAUAUAGAGCGCGCGUUUGGCUGAGGAGAACGAAAUCUCCUCGUAGGUCUUGCGGAGCUGCUCGAUCUCGGCCGCAGGCAGCGACAGCAGGCGGCUGAG